RNAcentral lists this ribosomal RNA (383 nucleotides) under Osmundea sp. RNAcentral describes it as "partial small subunit ribosomal RNA". It matches the Rfam family "Eukaryotic small subunit ribosomal RNA", at positions 582 to 975 of the family's 1831-position model. Lineage: Eukaryota; Rhodophyta; Florideophyceae; Ceramiales; Rhodomelaceae. The record is from RNAcentral.
AUUCCAGCUCUGUAAGCGUAUACCAAAGUUGUUGCAGUUAAAACGCUCGUAGUCGAACCUUGGCGUGAGUUACGGAGGCUCCUAAUGGACGUCGAAGUAACUCCGCCUUUGUGGAGGGGGGUGUGGUGUUACUUCAUUGUAUUGCCGCAUUUCCGCCACUGUUUACUGUGAAAAAAUUAGAGUGUUCAAAGCGAGCGUUUGCCAUGAAUACAUUAGCAUGGAAUAAUAGAAUAGGACCUGGUCCUGUUUUAUUGGUUUGUCUGUAUCAGGUAAUGAUUAACAGGGACGGUCGGGGGCAUUUGUAUUCCAGCGUUAGAGGUGAAAUUCUUGGAUCGCUGGAAGACAAACAGCUGCGAAAGCGUCUGCCAAGGACGUUUUCAUCG